This 941-nucleotide non-coding RNA is filed under the name Dermogenys pusilla (wrestling halfbeak). RNAcentral's name for it is "12S rRNA". It matches the Rfam family "Bacterial small subunit ribosomal RNA". The record is from RNAcentral. Lineage: Eukaryota; Metazoa; Chordata; Actinopteri; Beloniformes; Zenarchopteridae.
CAAAAGUUUGGUCCUGACUUUACUAUCAAUUGUAGCUAAACUUACACAUGCAAGUAUCAGCACCCCCGUGAGAAUGCCCUGCAGUUUCCUUUUAGGAAACAAGGAGCCGGUAUCAGGCACAAACUAUUAGCCCACAACACCUUGCUUUGCCACACCCUCAAGGGAAUUCAGCAGUGAUAAAUAUUAAGCAAUAAGUGAAAACUUGACUUAGUUAAAGCUAAAUAAAGCCGGUAAAACUCGUGCCAGCCACCGCGGUUAGACGAGAGGCUUAAAUUGAUAAUUAUCGGCGUAAAGCGUGGUUAAGAAUAAUACAUACUAAAGUCGAAUCAUUUCUAAGCUGUUAUACGCACUCGAAAGUAGGAAGAACUAUUACGAAAGUAACUUUAAUACAUCUGACUCCACGAAAGCUGUGAAACAAACUGGGAUUAGAUACCCCACUAUGCACAGCCCUAAACUAUGACAGUAUUUACACCAACUGUUCGCCAGGGUACUACAAGCUCUAGCUUAAAAUCCAAAGGACUUGGCGGUGCUUUAGAUCCACCUAGAGGAGCCUGUUCUAGAACCGAUAACCCCCGUUCAACCUCACCCUUUCUUGUUUAUCCCGCCUAUAUACCGCCGUCGUCAGCUUACCCUGUGAAGGAUCUAUAGUAAGCAAAACCAGUAAAACUAAAAACGUCAGGUCGAGGUGUAGCAUAUGAAAGGGGAAGAAAUGGGCUACAUUCCCUAAAUAGGGUAUACGAAAAAUAUGAUGAAAAGCACAUUAGAAGGAGGAUUUAGCAGUAAGUAGAAAAUAGAGUGUUCUACUGAAACUUGGCUCUGAAGCGCGCACACACCGCCCGUCACUCUCCCCCAAAAACAAAGAAAAUAACUAAUACAUUAACAAAAUAAAGGGGAGGCAAGUCGUAACAUGGUAAGUGUACCGGAAGGUGCACUUGGUUUAU